Vigna angularis (adzuki bean) is the source of this 589-nucleotide long non-coding RNA. RefSeq lists it as uncharacterized. The record is from RefSeq and is a predicted model, not a curated record. The transcript is spliced from 2 exons. NCBI's taxonomy places the organism in Eukaryota, Viridiplantae, Streptophyta, Magnoliopsida, Fabales, Fabaceae.
GGGGGGGGAGCGUUUUUGAGAGGGAAGAGAGAAGACCAGAGAGAGAGAAACUCACCCAUCUUCAUUCUUCUUCUCCUUCAAUUAUUUUUCUUUGUUCCUUCUUUAGAAUCAAAAGUUCUUUUGACCCAAUUGUUUUUCUUCUUCAAAUUUGGGUUUUUUUCCUCUUUCUCGGACCAAACCCUAGAACAGUGAGCAAUGAAGAUUGAAGGCUUAGUUUUUUUUUAUUUUUUGUGCGAGGGAGAGCACCAAAUGUUGAAUCCGAGUAAGAUCGGUGGUUAGUGUGAGGCACUAAGAGAAUCAGUUUGCGAGUCAAAGAGAGAACACAGGACUGGGAGAGCAAGAUACAUAAUGUUCAAACCAAAGGUUACCGUAAAGAGGAGGAACAGGAAUUAUAAGGGUGACGAGAGAGGGAUUGGAGUAUAUAGGAGUUCAUUUAAAGUUUAUCCAAUUUAUGUAAAGGAACGUAUUAAACUUUUUACGUUGGUGAUGAAGUUGGAUAAUUUAUAUAUUGAAAUUGUAAAAGUUUUAUUUCUUUGGAAAAUUUAUAAGAGACAUGUAUAUUUAAUGUAUGAAUUGGAAUCGUCUUGUA